RNAcentral lists this transfer RNA (76 nucleotides) under Zoogloea sp. Its description in RNAcentral is "tRNA-Trp". It matches the Rfam family "tRNA". Rfam says of the family: Transfer RNA (tRNA) molecules are approximately 80 nucleotides in length. RNAcentral also lists the same sequence under 2 other names. Lineage: Bacteria; Pseudomonadati; Pseudomonadota; Betaproteobacteria; Rhodocyclales; Zoogloeaceae. The record is from RNAcentral.
ACGGGUGUAGCUCAAUUGGUAGAGCGAAGGUCUCCAAAACCUUAGGCUGCGGGUUCGAUUCCUGCCACCCGUGCCA